This 253-nucleotide ribosomal RNA is filed under the name uncultured bacterium. RNAcentral's name for it is "partial 16S ribosomal RNA". It matches the Rfam family "Bacterial small subunit ribosomal RNA", at positions 524 to 776 of the family's 1533-position model. The record is from RNAcentral.
UACGAAGGGUGCUAGCGUUGCUCGGAAUUACUGGGCGUAAAGCGCACGUAGGCGGAUUGUUAAGUCGGGGGUGAAAUCCUGGAGCUCAACUCCAGAACUGCCUUCGAUACUGGCGAUCUCGAGUUCGGGAGAGGUGAGUGGAACUGCGAGUGUAGAGGUGAAAUUCGUAGAUAUUCGCAAGAACACCAGUGGCGAAAGCGGCUAACUGGUCCGGUUCUGACGCUGAGGCGCGAAAGCGUGGGGAGCAAACAGG